AUUGAACGCUGGCGGCAUGCUUUACACAUGCAAGUCGAACGGCAGCGCGGGCUUCGGCCUGGCGGCGAGUGGCGAACGGGUGAGUAAUACAUCGGAACGUGCCCAGUAGUGGGGGAUAGCUCGGCGAAAGCUGGAUUAAUACCGCAUACGACCUGAGGGUGGAAGCGGGGGAUCUUCGGACCUCGCGCUAUUGGAGCGGCCGAUGGCAGAUUAGCUAGUUGGUGGGGUAAAGGCCUACCAAGGCGACGAUCUGUAGCUGGUCUGAGAGGACGACCAGCCACACUGGGACUGAGACACGGCCCAGACUCCUACGGGAGGCAGCAGUGGGGAAUUUUGGACAAUGGGCGAAAGCCUGAUCCAGCAAUGCCGCGUGUGUGAUGAAGGCCUUCGGGUUGUAAAGCACUUUUGGCGGGAACGAAAAGGACUGUGCCAAUACCACGGUUCGAUGACGGUACCCGCAGAAUAAGCACCGGCUAACUACGUG
This 484-nucleotide ribosomal RNA is filed under the name uncultured bacterium. Its description in RNAcentral is "partial 16S ribosomal RNA". It matches the Rfam family "Bacterial small subunit ribosomal RNA", at positions 29 to 507 of the family's 1533-position model. The record is from RNAcentral.